CCAUGCACACAUCCACCAGCGGGUAACGAUCGUCGCGGACGCCGCUCUUCGCCGUCUUCUUGAACACCCAGGCGCGGUGUUGGCUCAUCAGCACAGCGGGAAUUGACAGGGAGAUGCCGCGCCCGUUGAAAACGUCGCGCAUCGUCACAUCGCCGAGGACACCUUGCAGCGCAUCGCGAAGUGCUUUGUCGCCCUCGCGCACGAACCGGCUGCCCUGCGUGGCGCGAUAACCGGCGAUCCGGUGGGGGAAGAUCUUCGGCCCAUGCUCGCGGUAAAGUGCCACCACCUCG
Molecule: unclassified non-coding RNA, 290 nt
Filed under: Hevea brasiliensis (rubber tree)
Lineage: Eukaryota; Viridiplantae; Streptophyta; Magnoliopsida; Malpighiales; Euphorbiaceae
Source: RNAcentral